This 201-nucleotide long non-coding RNA is filed under the name Elaeis guineensis (African oil palm). RNAcentral's name for it is "long non-coding RNA (EGUI_LNC014535)". The record is from RNAcentral. Lineage: Eukaryota; Viridiplantae; Streptophyta; Magnoliopsida; Arecales; Arecaceae.
AGCUUGGAGUUCGAAAAGUGAGAAGGUGAGCUACGAGUGUCGUGAGCCCACCAAAUUUUAGGAAGAUCUUCAACAUCCUCUCAAGCAUGUCUGCUAUCAAUCCAGAGCAUCCAAAAAAUUGGCAGACAUCGAUCGAAAGAGUUCGAUCAGUAUCGAUCGUCGAAAGGGUUCUACAACGAGCUAGCACUCGUGAGGAGUCGA